This 253-nucleotide ribosomal RNA is filed under the name uncultured bacterium. RNAcentral's name for it is "partial 16S ribosomal RNA". It matches the Rfam family "Bacterial small subunit ribosomal RNA", at positions 524 to 776 of the family's 1533-position model. The record is from RNAcentral.
UACGUAGGGUGCAAGCGUUAAUCGGAAUUACUGGGCGUAAAGCGUGCGCAGGCGGCUUUGCAAGACAGAUGUGAAAUCCCCGGGCUUAACCUGGGAACUGCAUUUGUGACUGCAUGGCUAGAGUGCGGCAGAGGGGGAUGGAAUUCCGCGUGUAGCAGUGAAAUGCGUAGAUAUGCGGAGGAACACCGAUGGCGAAGGCAGCCCCCUGGGUUAACACUGACGCUCAGGCACGAAAGCGUGGGGAGCAAACAGG